RNAcentral lists this ribosomal RNA (433 nucleotides) under uncultured bacterium. RNAcentral's name for it is "partial 16S ribosomal RNA". It matches the Rfam family "Bacterial small subunit ribosomal RNA", at positions 29 to 507 of the family's 1533-position model. The record is from RNAcentral.
AACGAACGCUGGCGGCAUGCCUAACACAUGCAAGUCGAACGAGACCUUCGGGUCUGGUGGCGCACGGGUGCGUAACGCGUGGGAAACUGCCCUUAGGUUCGGAAUAACUCCCCGAAAGGGGUGCUAAUACCGGAUAAUGUCUUCGGACCAAAGAUUUAUCGCCUUUGGAUGGGCCCGCGUUGGAUUAGCUAGUUGGUAGGGUAAAAGCCUACCAAGGCGACGAUCCAUAGCUGGUCUGAGAGGAUGAUCAGCCACACUGGGACUGAGACACGGCCCAGACUCCUACGGGAGGCAGCAGUGGGGAAUAUUGGACAAUGGGCGAAAGCCUGAUCCAGCAAUGCCGCGUGAGUGAUGAAGGCCUUAGGGUUGUAAAGCUCUUUUACCCGGGAUGAUAAUGACAGUACCGGGAGAAUAAGCUCCGGCUAACUCCGUG